AUGCCAAAUUGAACUUUAAGGCUAUAGGGUAUGGGGACCGUCCCCAUCCCCGUCGAGCUUCGGCGCCGGACGAACACCAUCCUGCCCCUCCACCGUCCCGUCCUCUCCGUCUAGCCUAAGACGUUGGCGACGUUCCUCAAAAGUGGGUUCCACUUAUCUUCUACCUUCAAACCCUCAUUUCCACUCUCGAUUUCUUCCGGAACCACACUCAUCCUGCACAAAUCAAGGUUUCCAGUGAGAGAUGGUGCCGAAAAAUGAAGCGACUGAAGAGCCGUUGGCCGAUUCUCCGACUUCUGUGCUUGAAGAUGAGUGAAACUAUAUCUGGAGUUUUAUCAAACAAGCAAUAAAAGCAAACGGACUCAGAUUUUAGUAUUCAGUUAUUAGUAUUUUCAGUUCUUUUAUGAUCAAAAUUUGCAUCGUCUUCACAUGCUUUUAUGAAAUUGUCUUCAUGGAUGGAGUGAAUCUCAGUUUAAUCAAGUUCUGAAUUAUGAGUUAGAUCAAAUGAUCAAGGCUUACUAGUUGCUUAGUGAGGCUGCUGCACUAAAGUUCACAGUGUAUUGUUGCUCAAUAGAGGCACCACACAAAACUCUUUCAAGCUAAUGGCCCUGAAAAUGUUCCUUCUGGUCUGUAUAUUUAAUAGGUACUGUAGUAGACAAUGCUGUGGAGCACCCAAGAAAUUAUCAGGUUUCACUUGGAGAUGUUUGUAGCUUCGAUGACUUGAAAGAAAGAAUGGCGGUUUACUUGAGCCAAAGUAACUGCCAUGAGAUUCUUGAUGAUAUGACUCAUGUUACAAAGAAUAUUGAUGAAGGAAGACUUAAAAUGAAGGCCCACUGUCCAAUAGUUGCUGAUGUUGGAAUGAAGGAGAAUGCUUUGAAGAUUCUAAUGAGUUAUAACCCUGUUUGGUUAACAUGAUGCUUUGGGUUAUGUGGUAUUUUAAAUUUAGCGAUUUUGAUAGUAAUACCGGCGACACCAAUAACAACCACUAUCCUUCAAAGGGGACAAGCUCAAGCUCCGUACCUUACCAACGACAACUUCCGUCACCGCCGACAAGCUCUAUCAAGCAUCACCGUAAUGUCGACAAGCUCAAGCUCCGACCAGUUUUGUUUUAUUAUUUAGAAAAUGAAUAGUGUAAUUUUACGUAGAAUCCAUUUUUGAAAUGAGAUUUGAAUGAGAAGUUAUGUAAUCUUCAAAUUUAUUAGUUCCGACAAAUUGAACAUCAAAUCAUUUGGGACACCCGUUGCAACGCGCGAGCAUUCUCACUAGUAUUAAUAAAAUUAUUUUGUUAGUUU
This 1289-nucleotide long non-coding RNA is filed under the name Helianthus annuus (common sunflower). Lineage: Eukaryota; Viridiplantae; Streptophyta; Magnoliopsida; Asterales; Asteraceae. The record is from RNAcentral.